CCUCCGCACCAGUACUACCCGGAAGAGGACCCCCCCGCCCCCACCGGAGGGUGCCUGAGCUCUCGGAACUACACCACCCGGAAGAGCCUGGGCACCGAAGGCGCACGAGGGGCCAAUGAGGGCACAGGACGCGGCGUUACUACGCGGGCGCAAUCCUCGGGGGCGGGACUUCCCGCCUCAUCUCGCGUAGGUAUUUUGCCUCUGGUUGAGUCCGUUUAUCCUGUAAGGUUUGGGUUCAGAGUCGGGGUGACUAACCCUGAACACCCGAAGGCACGUGCUGUCUUCGUCGCACCCAAUGGGGGCCGGGCCCCGGACCGCCUCUCGAGUCCAAUGACAGCGGCCGCGCCCAGGGCCCCGACACAGUCGCUCAUCCCCCGGACCCUCCCCGCGCUCCCUGCACCCAGACCCCUAAGGCCCGAGCGCGGGGCGCCUGCUCCUGGCCCUACGGCCCCGGCCCCGCCCCGGCGUUCCGGACAGGGAGGCGCCGGUGUGCGGGGUCCCCGCGGGUGCCGCGCGGCCAGUGAGCCUGCGCCCUCGCUGCCUGACGGGGCCGUCUGUCUUGGCGGUGCUGAGAGGGGGGCGACCCGCGUGUACAUAGGCUUUAUCUGGCCGCAGAGAAGGGCACACCCCGCGGGGUAAGCGAGGAGGAAGAAUCGCAGUAGUCGGUGGAUUGUUGAUGGACUCCGUGGCCACCGUGGACGUGGUGAACCGGUUGACUCUGGUCUAUGUCUUGAGAAGGGCCGAGGCCGAUGUGAGUGUUGUAGGUGAGAAAAGGAAGGAAGGAGUCAGGGCAAACCCCAGGGCCUUCGUUACGUGAACCUUAAAAAGUGCCAGUUCCCCGCAAAAAUGGAUUGAUGUAGGAGCGACAGAGAACUGCGGUUUGGAAUAAAGCAGCUGAGUCAAAAUAGCGGGCCAGUGUGGAGAACAAGAGAGAGGUAGUCUAUUUUAAGGGAAAGGGGGGAAGUUGGGGAGGCUGUUGUAAACUACAAGUCCACUGGAGUAAGUUGGGAGUUGCGGCUUCUCAUUGGCUGAGGUCUUGGGUGCGGUGAUCAGGAAAGCCUGUCUUUUUGGGGUCUGAGGUAGUGAAGUCGGUCCCAUAUAAGGUCAAUCCCAUCGCUUUCUGUUGGGCCUGCAGUUGAUCACAUUGGUAGUGCCUGAGAGCUCCCCGAAGUGCAACCUCCCGACUCCAGUUUAGUGAGGUUUUCCGUUAUGAAUAGCAGCGGAAGGGAUUGAAGCACCCGUGAACCUGAUGGAAGUUGGCAGUAUGUUGAUUAUCCUUGGGGUGUCCUAACUUGUCUUGACAUGGUUAAGCAUCUUAGAUGUCUUAGGGAAGUGUGAGUGAUGGUGUGGAGUGGGCAGCUGGACAGGACAUUUUGGGAAACUGGGGGGAAGUUGCAGAUUGGAGGCUUCCCAAAGUGAUGGCUGUUGUGCGGAGCAGGGGGAGAAUUGGGUCCCAUUUAGGAAGGGCAUGCAGGGACGCCUGGGUGGCUCAGGGUUUAGCGCCUGUCUUCGGCCCAGGGUGUGAUCCUGGAGUCCCGGGAUGGAGUCCCACAUCAGGCUCCCUGCGUGGAGCCUGCUUCUCCCUCUGCCUAUGCCUCUGCCUGUCUCUGUCUCUGUGUCUCUCAUGAAUAAGUAAAGAAAAUCUUUUUUUAAAAAAAGGAAGGGAAUGCAGAGAAUAUUGGCAGUGCUAUUAGUAGGUCACUGGGUCCUACUAAACUGUGCUGAAGAGUGGUUCUGUUGUUCAGCGUGAGUUUGUAUAGUUGCUGGGCAUUGCGAACACAGGUGAAGGUAGAGAGAAUGAUCUGGCAGUCAGAUGGGCAAGCCUUCCACGGGAUGAUGGAUGGAACAAGAGAUAGCAGAGGACAACUGGGAGUUUUGGAGUUUUUUUGUUUUUGUUUUUGUCUGUCUGUUUUAAGGCGGCCCCAUGCCCUUGUGGAGCCCAAAAUGAGACUUGACCUCUGGACUCUGAGAUCAAGAGUCAAAUGCUGAACCUACGAGUGUUUGGGAAACAGGGGCUACUAUCUUACCAGUUUUGUAGGGCUUCACCAGAAUUUUGGGAUCAGCUUUUACCAUAUUUGGGGUCUUUCAAAGUCUUGCUGCUGGAUAAGGUCUGGGCAGAUGUGAUCAUUGCUGCUUCACUGUGCCUGGCAGGGAGACCUUUAGUGCUGGGGUCUUCACAACGGUUCAGUGGACAGUGCUGGGUUCUGAUGGUUGAGGGACAGCAUGGGCAGCACAGAAGUAGAAGAGGGUCUGUGAGUAUCCUAAGUUGACAUGUGCUUGUGAGUGCCUGUCAUUGAAGGGAGGAUCACAGGCAGGUUGAGGAGGGCUUCUCAGCAGCAUCUGAGGCUUUCCCUCAGUUGGGAUCCAUGAGAGUCCUGGGGUGGUAGUGGAGCCAUCAAACAUCCUUUGGAUGACCUGUGACGAGUACAAGAGUGAGUGGUGGGAGAAUCGUGUGGUGUGGGGGCAGGAAGGCGUGGGCGUUCAUCUGUGGGGUCUGAAGACAGGAGAGAGGUACAGUCUACAGAAUCAUGUGCACAUGGAUAGGAAGUGUGAGCCAAGGACCUCAGGGUCCUGAUAUUGAGGACUCUCUGGUAAAGCCAGGGCCCAUACCUGGCUGUCUCAGGGCAUAAUCUGGGAGAACCUGCAUUGGGAAUAUCGUGACAGGAGGAUGGGACCUUGCAGGCCACGCCCAGAGCUUAGAUUGCACCUACAUGUCCCGUGUCUGUUACUACUGAGGACUGAACAGUGAUUGACGGGAAGGUGAGAGGAGUGCAGCAUUAGCGGCACCAGGACCUGGCAUUUAUCUUACAGUGGGGAGCUGAGGUGGCAGGGGAGACUGGGGUGCUGUGGGGGGGGGGGGGUUGGGUUGUGGGUUUUCAGAGAGAGAGAGAAUUUUCAUGGUUCCAUCUGUCGCUCUCCUGA
Molecule: long non-coding RNA, 2922 nt
Filed under: Canis lupus familiaris (dog)
Lineage: Eukaryota; Metazoa; Chordata; Mammalia; Carnivora; Canidae
Description: lncRNA (ENSCAFG00040002788.1)
Source: RNAcentral